Molecule: long non-coding RNA, 923 nt
Organism: Meriones unguiculatus (Mongolian gerbil)
Lineage: Eukaryota; Metazoa; Chordata; Mammalia; Rodentia; Muridae
Exons: 4
Source: RefSeq, a predicted model, not a curated record
CUGGCUUUCACAAAAUAACUUCUGAGGGGGUGGAGAAGUGAGAACCAUAUUACUGAGUGUCCCUUUUGUGAGUGCCUUCUAUAGAGGUCCUUGUGACAAGAAGAUGAAAGUCACUUCCAACCUGUGCCCAAAUGGACCUGUCAGCAAAUGGAGCAAAUGGCAACAAUCGAAAACUGCCUACACAAUGGUCUUGGAAAUGGGAUUCUUCUUCAGUCACGUCUAAAGGAGGCCUGGAAGGAUAGCUCUGUGGCUGAAAGUGCUUGAAGAUCUGAGUUCCGAUUCCAGUGCCAAUAUAUCAAGGGAAACAAACCCCCAACACAUUUGGAGAGAAGCUUUGGUCUUAGGACUAUGCCUCUGGCUGUAAAUUGCCUUUGAGCCUAAUGGAACAUCUCGGGCCUUUUCUUCAGAAGUGUUUUGAAAUUGUUGACAUCCCUGCUUGGGGACGUCUGUACAGGGACAAACUGCUCUUUCAUCCGAACUGACUUGGCAUUGAAGCUUGGCCUGUCCGUCCCUGGGGCUGUCCAGAACUCUCCCAGACUUGCUGUUUGUAACCUCUUCCUUGUUAUCGUGUCCUAGAGCUCCUUUGAGACAGAAGUCUGCCAUUGGAGCUCUGUUGAUCUGCACUCAAUGGUUGACAUGAUAACUUGUGCCAAUCUCAUGCAGCUCGGGAGCUUAAGUGUGCAAGAAAAACAACUUACGGAGUUUUGAAAUUCACUCUAACUCCUGCUUCAGGAAGGUGAGAAGGUUUAAUCUCAGAUAAUAUGAAGUAUCUUCCAAUGCUGGGACUGUUUUUAAAUUUUAGGAGCACACUCCUGUUAUAGGGGCAUGGGAGAAGAUAUCUGCCCCUCCCAUUUGAUCCUCCCUCAUUGGCCUAAACACGGCACCACAGACUUCCUUGUUCCUCUCCGUAUAACUCCUACAUG